Molecule: ribosomal RNA, 516 nt
Filed under: Escherichia coli
Lineage: Bacteria; Pseudomonadati; Pseudomonadota; Gammaproteobacteria; Enterobacterales; Enterobacteriaceae
Description: partial 23S ribosomal RNA
Rfam family: Bacterial large subunit ribosomal RNA
Source: RNAcentral
GGGUAGUUUGACUGGGGCGGUCUCCUCCUAAAGAGUAACGGAGGAGCACGAAGGUUGGCUAAUCCUGGUCGGACAUCAGGAGGUUAGUGCAAUGGCAUAAGCCAGCUUGACUGCGAGCGUGACGGCGCGAGCAGGUGCGAAAGCAGGUCAUAGUGAUCCGGUGGUUCUGAAUGGAAGGGCCAUCGCUCAACGGAUAAAAGGUACUCCGGGGAUAACAGGCUGAUACCGCCCAAGAGUUCAUAUCGACGGCGGUGUUUGGCACCUCGAUGUCGGCUCAUCACAUCCUGGGGCUGAAGUAGGUCCCAAGGGUAUGGCUGUUCGCCAUUUAAAGUGGUACGCGAGCUGGGUUUAGAACGUCGUGAGACAGUUCGGUCCCUAUCUGCCGUGGGCGCUGGAGAACUGAGGGGGGCUGCUCCUAGUACGAGAGGACCGGAGUGGACGCAUCACUGGUGUUCGGGUUGUCAUGCCAAUGGCACUGCCCGGUAGCUAAAUGCGGAAGAGAUAAGUGCUGAAAGC